ACGGAAGGCAGCAGUGGGGAAUAUUGGACAAUGGGGGAAACCCUGAUCCAGCGACGCCGCGUGAGUGAAGAAGUAUUUCGGUAUGUAAAGCUCUAUCAGCAAGGAAGAAAAUGACGGUACUUGACUAAGAAGCUCCGGCUAAAUACGUGCCAGCAGCCGCGGUAAUAAGUAUGGAGCAAGCGUUAUCCGGAUUUACUGGGUGUAAAGGGAGCGUAGACGGCAAAGCAAGUCUGAAGUGAAAUCCCGGGGCUCAACCCCGGAACUGCUUUGGAAACUGUUUAGCUAGAGUGCAGGAGAGGUAAGCGGAAUUCCUAGUGUAGCGGUGAAAUGCGUAGAUAUUAGGAGGAACACCAGUGGCGAAGGCGGCUUACUGGACUGUAACUGACGUUGAGGCUCGAAAGCGUGGGGAGCAAACAGGAUUAGAUACCCUGGUA
RNAcentral lists this ribosomal RNA (434 nucleotides) under uncultured Clostridium sp. Its description in RNAcentral is "partial 16S ribosomal RNA". It matches the Rfam family "Bacterial small subunit ribosomal RNA", at positions 341 to 792 of the family's 1533-position model. Lineage: Bacteria; Bacillati; Bacillota; Clostridia; Eubacteriales; Clostridiaceae. RNAcentral also lists the same sequence under 1 other name. The record is from RNAcentral.